This is a long non-coding RNA of Rosa chinensis, 419 nucleotides long. RefSeq lists it as uncharacterized. Lineage: Eukaryota; Viridiplantae; Streptophyta; Magnoliopsida; Rosales; Rosaceae. The transcript is spliced from 2 exons. The record is from RefSeq and is a predicted model, not a curated record.
GUGGCUGCUUACAGGUUCAACAUCACCAGCUUACCCGGCUUUCCCGGUGACCUUCCAUUCAGACUGGAAACUGGGUACAUCGGAGUUGGAGACUCUGACAACGUGCAACUAUUCUACUACUUCAUUGAGUCUGAAGGAACUCCGAAGAAUGGCCCGCUUAUGCUUUGGCUCAGCGGAGGUCCUGGCUGUUCUGAUUUUUCUGCCCUCGCAUAUGAAAUUGGUGCGUAAUUUUCUUUACUUCAGCAUCUUUAAUUUGUAACGGUCAUUGUGGAUCAGUACCAUACAUAGCAGGUUUGGAGUUACAUGUAGUUCAAUGGUUCUGUGAUGGUUCUAGUUCACGAAUGUUGGGCUAAUCAGGUAAGUUAUUGCUCAGAUCAAUGCAAUUAAUCAAAGAAAAAUGUCUCCAAAGUUUAAUUUCA